AUGAAUGCAGGUCCUUCUCACAUUUAAAUGUGCUUGUAGAAAGAGGACCUAAUGCCACCAAAGAUCUUCUCUUCAUUGAAAUGACCUGCAAAACAGAUGGGGAAUUUGAGGAAUACGUGCUUAGUUGCAUUUGUGUGGUUUCAUCCGACGAUGAUGGUAUGUUUGCAUUUUCUUUAUUUUAACUAUUCAAUUCUUCCAUGCAGUAUAUCAUAUGAAAAUCAGUAAAAUUUUGCAUUCUAUUCAUACUUUGUAUCACCGAGUCGGAAAUGUUAUGCUGGACCUAGUAACCAUGUAGUGCAGAUUUAUAUAUUGCCCAAUGAAAUCAUGCUCAGUUCUACUGGUAGCCAAUAUACGGAUACUCCACAAGAGAGAAGACCAUGCUGUGACAGAUUCUGUAUGAAUUGUACUAUGAUAGUCAUCAAGCUCUAGCAUUUCUUUUGUACAUUAAAUUGCUAAUUGUAGGUGAGUGCUGUGAAUGCGAUGAUGUACAUUAGAUAUUGAUUGACAAAACUAGACCAUAAUUGUAGGUGAGUGCUGUGAAUGUGGUGAUGAUGUGAAGCAUCCCACUGGUGUGGAGUACAAAAAGGGUGAAGCCAAGCUCCGUUUUCGGUGCGGGAGGCGUAUAUCAGCUGAAGAAUUUAAUAAGGUACAGCAUUAUUUUGUUGGCAAAAUUUGUAGAUCGAUAUGUAUGUGCAGAUGAGUCAAUGUUAGUUUCAUGUCUUUUAUUUGCAGUUUAUUGUUGUGCGUGAUGAAGAUUGGCUGGAGGCGGAGGAGGCUACGGUGAGGCAGCAAUACAGGAUGCGCAGCUUUGCAGAUGGCCAUGGAGCGAGGGGCGAGUGAGAAGGUGAAGGGAGUGCAGGGUUUUCGCAAGGAGACAGUGCGGACCCCUCCAAAUGCAUGGUUUUUUUUAAUAUUAAAACAUCUUUUUUCUAACACGAAAUAUUUUUUUGAUAAUUCUUAAAGCUUCCAAACAUGGUUUUCACAAAAGGUGUUUUCAUCUAAUAUAUUUCUCUUCUGGCGAAAAUCUACCCAACCAGUGACGUAGUUGUACAGGGCCGGCCCUGGUGUAUGGCCGGCGGGGCGACGCCCAGGGCCCAGGCCAGGAAGGGGCCCAUGACUUAUAGUAAAUAUACACACUGUCGUUCAGUAAAAAAUAGAUAAAAAAAUCAGAUGAAAACUAGAUGGCAAGGCCAUCAGAUAACAACCGAUCGAUUGGCGAAGCAUCACGCUAGCCAUCCGAAUAGCAAGAGUCACGCUAGCUUUCUUCUGCUCAUCGGUUCGUCGGCCUGUUUGUCGGGGUCGCUCGGCGUCUAGCUUGUCGCCUCGACCGGCCGCCGCCAAAAGGCGCCGCACGGCAGUCCGGCCAUCCGGCAUCCAGCACGCGGUAAUCCGCAGCAGUACGAUUGUAUACGAGCUAAAGCCAAGAAGGCCCGGGCGUCCGGCCAUCCGGCAAGAUCCAUCCAACAUCCAUCCAUCGGCACUUCAGCAGCAGUAAUCAGUAGUAAUACCGGUACGUAUCCAUGAUCCACUCAUCCAUCAGGAGCAGGAGUAGUACGUAUGAACGUAUCGAUGAUCCACCUAUGUUCCCAAUCCAUACCCCCAAACACCAAUUUGACCAUUUCGAUAGUAUAUUUUAUUCUAUAUAUAUUUAGUGUGUACGUAUUCAACUAUUUAUCCAUGUAUGUCUAGGGUUCCAAUCAUCUGAUAUAUAAAUUUGUAAUUUUUUGUAUCCUCUUUUCUCAUAAUUUUAGGACGUUAACCUGUCAUGUUGUCUAAGAAGAAGCAAUUGUCCGAGGUGGCGCUGUUUCUUGAAAGUCUUGCAAGCAAACGAUCUUAACAAGGUCAACAAUGGAAGCAGAACUCACAGAUACAGCUACGGUUGAAGCAGAUUGGCUUCGCCGGCUCUUGAAUGACUUGUCAGUUGUCGAGAAACCUGUACCGAGUAUCCUUAUGAACUGCGACAAUCAAACUGUGAUCACGAAAGUGAGCAGCUCAAAGGAUAACAUGAAGUCAUCAAGACACAUCCAGAGAAGGUUAAAAUCUGUCAGGAAAAUGAGAAACUCCGGAGUUAUUGCAUUAAAAAUCUGGCAGAUCCUUUUACUAAGGGGGCUAUCACGUAAUGUGAUAGAUAAUGCAUCGAGGGAGAUGGGUAUGAGACCCACAAUUUGAGUUGUUCACAGCGGUAACCUAUUCUUUGUGAUCGGAGAUCCCGUGAAUUAGAUGUGGAAGACAAGUUGUUGGUCAACUGAGAGGAAAGUAUCCUUAUCAUUAAUAAUACCACUUCAUGAAGAUGCAAUACUUUCCUAAACUGCAUGGCAGGUUGAUAUACAUCUUAAUAUAUUCUAAGUGGCUUACUGAAGCAGAGAUGUUGUCCUCCAGAACAUCUUUUGGAGAACAUACAUAUAUGAGUCAGAUUGUUAAACGUCGCAAUCUAUGAGAGUAGGGUGCUCUCUAGUAUACUCAUGAAAGGUCUCGGAGUAUGACGCAUAAGCUCCACCCGCGGGGAAGUCCCACGGUAGCCUAGUAUCGAUCAAAGCUUUGUGUGAAGCUAGAUUCGCAGAAAACUUGCAGUUCAAGGCCUAAUCCACUAUUCAAGUUGCUUACUAGUGUAGCAUAGAGUUCUAGGUGGAAGUUCAACUUAACAGUCUCCAUUGCAGUAUCGGUAUAUAAAACAGUGUUUUGGAACCAAAGGCAAUUUUUGUGUGUCUCUCGGAUCUGAUGGGGGAUUGCUGGAAUUUUGUCUACUUUUGGGCCAGCCCAAUAUAUAAUUUCAGAAAAUUUCUAAUAAAUCCUAGAGGCCCACGCAGCCCAUUUGUGCAAGGCAAGAGGUGGAAAUGUUUAGUCCCAUUUUGCUAGUUUAGUGGGAGUUGGACCUCCUUAUAAGAGAGGAUGUUUCCACACAUGUAUGAGCUUGAGAACAAGAGAGGCAUACACGCGCGCUUCUCCUCCUCCGCCGCUCGCCUCGUCACGACGCGCCGCGGAAACGAGCCGAACUAAAUUUUUGCCACGCACGACUAGUAUACGAAAGGUCACUCGGAAAUUGAAUGUUUUGCUGUAGUGGAUAUUGAAAGCGACGCAACACUCUUCGGUUGUUGUUCGUUUCAUUUCCCUCGCUCUCUUCGGCUCCCGUGGUGGAUAUUGUCUGCUCCCCCGCGGAUGAUGGAGGUAGCUUUCUUCAUUGGAUUGCGCACAUCCAGCCGCACUCUCGCCCUAUAGAAGUUGCCCUUAAAAUCAAAGGAGGGCAGCUCUGAGUCCACAAACUCACCCGAUUUUGAUGUCAAGGUUUUCACUUUACCUUUAUUUGCUAUGGGCAGGUCAAUGAUCCGUGCCCAAAUCUCGAACUUGUAGAGCUCUGUUGAAGUUGGCUUGAAAUAUCCAUCAUAUGGAGCAAUGAUCACUCGAUUGCCUCUGAAGUGCCACGACCCCCCUUGGGUGACCUUCUCCCAGUCUCUCAGGCACUUGAACUGCAUCAUGAACAAGGUUUCCUCCAAGGUUUUGAUCUUGACUGUCCUGGCCAGAUCCCACGUCGUUCUCAUUUUGCGGAAGAACCAGUAGGAGCUAAACCCCGUGUCCAUGUGUACAUGGUCAAGGAUCAUCCAGCGGAUAUCUUCCUCCGCUGGGGCAUCAGAUUCUUCAAAGACGACAUAGUGUAGGUCAUCUUCUUGCAAGGCAAGUUUUUUCAUGAGAUCCUCCACCUUGCCAACCCUCAUGGCGAUAAUGAUGACGAGUCCCCGCGACACGCCAUCCUUCAAAAUCGAGACAGAUCGAUCCGACGAUCCCAUCAGAAAAGCUGCCGAAAAACCCCAACCCCUCCCAACCAAUCGAAGGUACCAGGCAGCGCCGCAAGGCUGCCACCAACACGAGGGCAAAGAACCGGCAAACCAUAUUUGGCGAUGCAUGCGCUGGUUAAAGUGCAUUUUUCUUAACCGGCGCGUACAACGUUCGGUCAUGGACUGGCCCAGCGAGAGGAGGUGGGUUCCGGUUUUAUGAAGGUUUUGGAAUCUUCCUAGAUGUUUUUUUUNNNNNNNNNNNNNNNNNNNNNNNNNNNNNNNNNNNNNNNNNNNNNNNNNGUUUUUCGAUUUUAUGAACCUUUUGUGUUCACUUUUUUUUUGCUUUUUGUUUAUAAAAAAAUCCGUCCUGAAACUAGUUUUUCGCUGGGCCUGGCCCGUUUACGCGACCCCUCCGUCUUCCUUCCCGUCGCCUCCCCAGGAAGAAAGCUUCCCUCUUUUCCCCUCGCCUCGCCGGCAGGAAGAAAGCUUCGAUCUUUUCCCCUCGCCUCGCCUCGCCGGCAGGAAAUCUCCAAAACCCUAGCCGUCGCCGACGAUGUGGCCGUUGCCCACGCCGCCUCCCCCUUCCUCUUCACCAUCAGAAUCGGAUGCAUCUCCCCUUCCCGUGCCCUCCCCUCCCCCACCAGCUGCAGCGUCCAGGGCCACCUCUCCACCACCAUCCGCAGCCGCCGCAAGCCGAUCCCCUCCCGUCCCCUGCACUCCACCGCCGGCCGCAGCCUCCACAGGCCGAUCCCCUCUAGUCCCCUGGACUCCACCGCCGGCCGCAGCCUCCACAAGCCGAUCCCCUCCCGUCCUGCCUCGCCGCACUUAUACACCAAUAAAUCUUCCAGACGAACGCCGCUACUGCAGUCGGCCACAGCCUCCACGGUAUGACUUCAUCGACAUCCCUCACUCUGCUCCCUAUUUCUAAUGGCUUGGAACGACAGCCAUACCUGCAUGUUCUGCACUGGCCUUUGAGUAGUCUCCAUUAGCAGGAUCAUCGAACCCGAGAAUACGGAUACAUAAUAUAAUAUACUAUAAUCUCUGUUGCACCUGUAUACCAAUUCAAUGAGAGCUGGUGCCGUUGCAUUUUCCACGAGACAAUUAUCUUGAUGUUCUUUGAUUUAUUCUCUCUUGGAGCAUCCUUAAUAAAUAGAGCCAACUGCUGGCUAUAUCACAUUGCCUUGUCACUUAGAGUUGGUCUAGUAGCCCACCCCAUUGCAGUCAUCAUAUACUACUAUCUUAAUACAUGGCUCACCUCUAACGAAACCUUUUCAAGCUUAUAUCAUGUUAUUAUACUUGCUCUCGUUUGCUAGUUUGUCCAACACCUAUUCUUGUUCUGACCCACUUUUUGUCCAAGAGUCAGCAGAUCAUUAGAAAAAGAGCUAUUUAUCAAAGCUAUUAAUGGUCAGAUUGAAUUAUUCUGUUCGAGAGCAUGAGGCUUUGUAAAAAAGUACUCUUUUGACCCAUAUCACGACCAAAUGUCUUUGAUUCUGAAAAUCUGCAUUGGUUUCUGGAGUGCUUCUUUUUUAGUUAAUAAUAACUACUUAGUUUUAAGAAAGGUUAGUUUUUCUUUUGAGAUAAGGAGUUAGGUUAACUAGUUUUUUUAGGAACGCCUAUAGUUCUAUUCACGCUCCCAACCAUUACAGAUACAAUGAUUUCGAUCCAUUAUCAAAGAAAUUGCAAAGUAACUCGUACAACUAAGAAUCACAAUGAGAUCUCUUGGAGACAUCUUCUCCUUGGUAUCAGUCUUUGCACAAUAUAUAUAUUCCACAAACUUAUUAUCUUUUGUUUUUUCAGUUGUGAGGACACUGAGCAGGCAGUGCGUAUUGAGGCCCCACCAUCGCCAAACCACUUUCCACCUGUUUCAGCAUUGAGGCCAACAAGAUUGCUAAUUAAGUAUUUUCUGAGGGUUGAUGCUGGUGGACUCUUCCACACAUAUCCUCAUCGAGGUGGUCCGUUUAAGACCUUACAAGAAGCUCAGGAUGCUAUAGACUCCUAUCACACUAAUCUGUGUAAAUUCAAGUAAAUCUUCUCUCAACUUUGUUUCUAUUUUCAAGUGUUGGAAAAUGCUUAUAUGUAUAUGCUAUGUCCUAUGCUAGCAGCUUAUAUGCAAGUAUAUUUCUCUUUAGCAACAUGCAGCUUUAGUCCGGCAUGCAAACUUACUAGGGAAACCCUUUCAUUUCUAGGACUGAAAACAUAAAUUCCAAAUUGAUUUUGCCGUAUGCCUUCUCAAAUUCUACUUUAAGAAAAACAACGUGUUUUUUUUCUCUUAUGUAAAGAAUGUAAGGUCUCAAUGUAGCAUUACUACACUAUCUAAAAUAUACGGCCUUUAAUAAAAGCAUUAUGAAUCUUGGACUUUACAUUCUCUGUAACCAGCAUAGCCCUACUUGGAAUCAGGGUCUUGGUAAAAAAAUUGAAUGCCACAGUAAGCAUGCAAAUAGGUCUAUACAUUUGGAUCUUGUCAGCCCCCUGCCCUUUGCCAAUCAGGUUGACAAUUCCAUAGUAGAAUUCUUUGAAAUCACAAGCUUUGUGCUUGCACUUUAAAAUCCCUGACCCUCGCAUAUCGCGUUGUUUAUAUGAACUAGGUACUUGGGUGGGCUUUCCAAUGAGGACAGGUUUGUUUGGGAUACACUAUAUUGGCGUAAUGGCACAAGGAAGAACUCAAAAGAAGCUUUGGAUGCAAUGAUGAACUAUAACCCCACUUGGGAAGUAGUCAAAGCUUUACUGGACAAGCACAAUGAGGACCAUCCUUUGGAGGUUUGCUAUCUCCCUUGCUCUCUCUUGCCAUUUUCUUGUUUGCCGCUCUCCCUCACCGUCUUUCUUAUGUUUUAGGAUCUUGCAUAUGAAAUCAAGGAAGUAGUGAGUUACAAAGAUCACUUCCCUAGAAAAGAUUCUCAGCAUGAAUGCAGGUCCUUCUCACAUUUAAAUGUGCUUGUAGAAAGAGGACCUAAUGCCAUCAAAGAUCUUCUCUUCAUUGAAAUGACCUGCACAACAGAUGGUGGAUUUGAGGAAUACGUGCUUAGUUGCAUUUCUGUGAUCUCAUCCGACGAUGAUGGUAUGUUUGCAUUUUUGUUAUUUUACCUAUUCAAUUCUUCCAUUAAGUAUAUCAAUAUGCAAGUCAGUAAAAUUUUGCAUUCUAUUGAUACUAGUUGGAUGCUCGUGCCUUGCCACGCAACAAUAUAUAUAUGCCAAACAUUAAUGAAAUGAUAAUUCUUUUUAUGAGCACUGAUGUCAUGCAUCCAGUUUAACAAAUCACCCACUCAUUUCUGCCAAACGGACAUCUUCUUCGACGUCAGGCCGUUAGAGGACAAGUUAAGUGUCUUGCUACUACCAUCCCAACCUAAAUGUGUAUCAGGACAAAAAUGCGAAAAACAUAGUAAAAAUUAAGAUCUCCACUUUACUUAAUAACUUUGAAAACAAGCAAAACCACAAAUAAGUGCCAAAAAGGAAGCAAAAAUAUAAGAUCCAUAAUUUGAU
Molecule: long non-coding RNA, 7247 nt
Filed under: Hordeum vulgare
Lineage: Eukaryota; Viridiplantae; Streptophyta; Magnoliopsida; Poales; Poaceae
Description: long non-coding RNA (HVUL_LNC011384)
Source: RNAcentral